This 75-nucleotide transfer RNA is filed under the name Thermanaerothrix daxensis. RNAcentral describes it as "tRNA-Met". It matches the Rfam family "tRNA". From Rfam's summary of the family: Transfer RNA (tRNA) molecules are approximately 80 nucleotides in length. Their secondary structure includes four short double-helical elements and three loops (D, anti-codon, and T loops). Further hydrogen bonds mediate the characteristic L-shaped molecular structure. tRNAs have two regions of fundamental functional importance: the anti-codon, which is responsible for specific mRNA codon recognition, and the 3' end, to which the tRNAs corresponding amino acid is attached (by aminoacyl-tRNA synthetases). tRNAs cope with the degeneracy of the genetic code in two manners: having more than one tRNA (with a specific anti-codon) for a particular amino acid; and 'wobble' base-pairing, i.e. permitting non-standard base-pairing at the 3rd anti-codon position. The record is from RNAcentral. Lineage: Bacteria; Bacillati; Chloroflexota; Anaerolineae; Anaerolineales; Anaerolineaceae.
GGGCCCGUAGCUCAGCGGCAGAGCGGGCGGCUCAUAACCGCUUGGUCGCAGGUUCGAAUCCUGCCGGGCCCACUA